This 468-nucleotide ribosomal RNA is filed under the name uncultured bacterium. RNAcentral describes it as "partial 16S ribosomal RNA". It matches the Rfam family "Bacterial small subunit ribosomal RNA", at positions 28 to 507 of the family's 1533-position model. The record is from RNAcentral.
GACGAACGCUGGCGGCGUGCUUAACACAUGCAAGUCGAACGGAAAGGCCCUGCUUUUGUGGGGUGCUCGAGGGGCGAACGGGUGAGUAACACGUGAGUAACCUGCCCUAGACUUUGGGAUAACUUCAGGAAACUGGGGCUACUACCGGAUAGGAGCUCCUCCUGCAUGGUGGGGGUUGGAAAGUUUCGGCGGUUGGGGAUGGACUGGCGGCUGAUCGGCUUGCUGGUUGGGUAGUGGCUGACCAACGCUGUGGCGGGUAGGCGGCCUGGGAGGGUGAACGGCCUCCAUGGUCCUACGGGACGGCGCAGACUCGUACGGUGGGCAACAGUCGGAAAUCUUGCACAGUGGGCGGAAGCCGGAUGCGGCGGCGCCGCGUUCGGGAUGCCGGCCUUCGGGGUGUAAACCGCUUUCGCCUGUGACGAAGCGUUAGUGACGGUACUGGGUAAAUAAGCACCGGCUAACUACGUG